Molecule: ribosomal RNA, 261 nt
Filed under: Cedecea colo
Lineage: Bacteria; Pseudomonadati; Pseudomonadota; Gammaproteobacteria; Enterobacterales; Enterobacteriaceae
Description: partial 23S ribosomal RNA
Rfam family: Bacterial large subunit ribosomal RNA
Source: RNAcentral
AGGACCGGAGUGGACGCAUCACUGGUGUUCGGGUUGUCAUGCCAAUGGCACUGCCCGGUAGCUAAAUGCGGAAAAGAUAAGCGCUGAAAGCAUCUAAGCGCGAAACUUGCCCCGAGAUGAGUUCUCCCUGAGCCUUUAAGGCUCCUGAAGGAACGUUGAAGACGACGACGUUGAUAGGCUGGGUGUGUAAGUGCAGCGAUGCAUUGAGCUAACCAGUACUAAUGAUCCGUGAGGCUUAACCUUACAACACCGAAGGUGUUU